UACGAAGGGGGCUAGCGUUGUUCGGAAUCACUGGGCGUAAAGCGCACGUAGGCGGACUUUUAAGUCAGGGGUGAAAGCCUGAGGCUCAACCUCAGAACUGCCCUUGAUACUGGGAGUCUUGAGUAUGGUAGAGGUUGGUGGAACAGCAAGUGUAGAGGUGAAAUUCGUAGAUAUUUGCUAGAACACCAGUGGCGAAGGCGGCCAACUGGACCAUAACUGACGCUGAGGUGCGAAAGCGUGGGGAGCGAACAGG
RNAcentral lists this ribosomal RNA (253 nucleotides) under uncultured bacterium. RNAcentral's name for it is "partial 16S ribosomal RNA". It matches the Rfam family "Bacterial small subunit ribosomal RNA", at positions 524 to 776 of the family's 1533-position model. The record is from RNAcentral.